RNAcentral lists this ribosomal RNA (274 nucleotides) under uncultured bacterium. RNAcentral describes it as "partial 16S ribosomal RNA". It matches the Rfam family "Bacterial small subunit ribosomal RNA", at positions 523 to 796 of the family's 1533-position model. The record is from RNAcentral.
AUACAGAGGGUGCGAGCGUUAAUCGGAAUUACUGGGCGUAAAGGGCGCGUAGGCGGUUUAAUAAGUCGGGUGUGAAAGCCCCAAGCUCAACUUGGGAAUUGCAUUCGAUACUGUUGAACUGGAGUGUGGUAGAGGGAAGCGGAAUUCCGGGUGUAGCGGUGAAAUGCGUAGAUAUCUGGAGGAACAUCAGUGGCGAAGGCGGCUACCUGGACCAACACUGACGCUGAGGUGCGAAAGCGUGGGGAGCAAACAGGAUUAGAAACCCCGGUAGUCC